CAGCACCUCAAGUGGUCAGGAUGAUUAUUGGGCCUAAAGCAUCCGUAGCCGGCUCUGUAAGUUUUCGGUUAAAUCUGUACGCUCAACGUACAGGCUGCCGGGAAUACUGCAGAGCUAGGGAGUGGGAGAGGUAGACGGUACUCGGUAGGAAGGGGUAAAUCCUUUGAUCUAUUGAUGACCACCUGUGGCGAAGGCGGUCUACCAGAACACGUCCGACGGUGAGGGAUGAAAGCUGGGGGAGCAAACCGGAUUAGAUACCCGAGUAGUCC
RNAcentral lists this ribosomal RNA (269 nucleotides) under uncultured archaeon. RNAcentral describes it as "partial 16S ribosomal RNA". It matches the Rfam family "Archaeal small subunit ribosomal RNA", at positions 477 to 747 of the family's 1478-position model. The record is from RNAcentral.